AUACGUAGGGUGCAAGCGUUAAUCGGAAUUACUGGGCGUAAAGCGUGCGCAGGCGGUUUUGUAAGACAGAGGUGAAAUCCCCGGGCUCAACCUGGGAACUGCCUUUGUGACUGCAAGGCUAGAGUACGGCAGAGGGGGAUGGAAUUCCGCGUGUCGCAGUGGAAUGCGUAGAUAUGCGGAGGAACACCGAUGGCGAAGGCAAUCCCCUGGGCCUGUACUGACGCUCAUGCACGAAAGCGUGGGGAGCAAACAGGAUUAGAUACCCUGGUAGUCCACGCCCUAAACGAUGUCAACUGGUUGUUGGGUCUUCAUUGACUCAGUAACGAAGCUAACGCGUGAAGUUGACCGCCUGGGGAGUACGACCGCAAGGUUGAAACUCAAAUGAAUUGGCGGGG
Molecule: ribosomal RNA, 395 nt
Filed under: uncultured bacterium
Lineage: Bacteria
Description: partial 16S ribosomal RNA
Rfam family: Bacterial small subunit ribosomal RNA
Source: RNAcentral